GAUGAACGCUGGCGGCGUGCCUAAUACAUGCAAGUCGAGCGAACAGACGAGGAGCUUGCUCCUUUGACGUUAGCGGCGGACGGGUGAGUAACACGUAGGUAACCUACCUAUAAGACUGGGAUAACUUCGGGAAACCGGAGCUAAUACCGGAUAAUAUUUCGAACCGCAUGGUUCGAUAGUGAAAGAUGGCUUUGCUAUCACUUAUAGAUGGACCUGCGCCGUAUUAGCUAGUUGGUAAGGUAACGGCUUACCAAGGCAACGAUACGUAGCCGACCUGAGAGGGUGAUCGGCUACACUGGAACUGAGACACGGUCCAGACUCCUACGGGAGGCAGCAGUAGGGAAUCUUCCGCAAUGGGCGAAAGCCUGACGGAGCAACGCCGCGUGAGUGAUGAAGGUCUUCGGAUCGUAAAACUCUGUUAUUAGGGAAGAACAAACGUGUAAGUAACUGUGCACGUCUUGACGGUACCUAAUCAGAAAGCCACGGCUAACUACGUG
Molecule: ribosomal RNA, 497 nt
Filed under: uncultured bacterium
Lineage: Bacteria
Description: partial 16S ribosomal RNA
Rfam family: Bacterial small subunit ribosomal RNA
Source: RNAcentral